Molecule: ribosomal RNA, 505 nt
Filed under: uncultured proteobacterium OCS178
Lineage: Bacteria; Pseudomonadati; Pseudomonadota; Betaproteobacteria; Nitrosomonadales; Methylophilaceae
Description: SSU rRNA
Rfam family: Bacterial small subunit ribosomal RNA
Source: RNAcentral
AGAGUUUGAUCCUGGCUCAGAUUGAACGCUGGCGGAAUGCUUUACACAUGCAAGUCGAACGGCAGCAUAGAGAGCUUGCUCUCUGAUGGCGAGUGGCGAACGGGUGAGUAAUAUAUCGGAACGUGCCUAGUAAUGGGGAAUAACUAGCUGAAAGGUUAGCUAAUGCCGCAUACGACCUACGGGUGAAAGCAGGGGAUCUUCGGACCUUGCGUUAUUAGAGCGGCCGAUAUCUGAUUAGCUUGUUGGUGGGGUAAUGGCCUACCAAGGCGACGAUCAGUAGCUGGUCUGAGAGGACGAUCAGCCACACUGGAACUGAGACACGGUCCAGACUCCUACGGGAGGCAGCAGUGGGGAAUUUUGGACAAUGGGGGCAACCCUGAUCCAGCCAUUCCGCGUGAGUGAAGAAGGCCUUCGGGUUGUAAAGCUCUUUCGCAAGAGAAGAAAACUUGCUAUCUAAUAAAUAGUAAGUAUGACGGUAUCUUGACAAGAAGCACCGGCUAACUAC